RNAcentral lists this ribosomal RNA (481 nucleotides) under Acinetobacter parvus. RNAcentral's name for it is "bacterial SSU rRNA". It matches the Rfam family "Bacterial small subunit ribosomal RNA", at positions 117 to 592 of the family's 1533-position model. The record is from RNAcentral. Lineage: Bacteria; Pseudomonadati; Pseudomonadota; Gammaproteobacteria; Moraxellales; Moraxellaceae.
UUAGGAAUCUGCCAUUUAGUGGGGGACAACAUUCCGAAAGGAAUGCUAAUACCGCAUACGUCCUACGGGAGAAAGCAGGGGAUCUUCGGACCUUGCGCUAAAUGAUGAGCCUAAGUCGGAUUAGCUAGUUGGUGGGGUAAAGGCCUACCAAGGCAACGAUCUGUAGCGGGUCUGAGAGGAUGAUCCGCCACACUGGGACUGAGACACGGCCCARACUCCUACGGGAGGCAGCAGUGGGGAAUAUUGGACAAUGGGCGGAAGCCUGAUCCAGCCAUGCCGCGUGUGUGAAGAAGGCCUUAUGGUUGUAAAGCACUUUAAGCGAGGAGGAGGCUCUCUUGGUUAAUACCUAAGAAGAGUGGACGUUACUCGCARAAUAAGCACCGGCUAACUCUGUGCCAGCWGCCGCGGUAAUACAGAGGGUGCGAGCGUUWAAUCGGAUUUACUGGGCGUAAAGCGUGCGUAGGCGGCUUUUUAAGUCGGA